AUUGAACGCUGGCGGCAGGCCUAACACAUGCAAGUCGAACGGUAACAGGAAGAAGCUUGCUUCUUUGCUGACGAGUGGCGGACGGGUGAGUAAUGUCUGUGAAACUGCCUGAUGGAUGGGGAUAACUACUGGAAACGGUAGCUAAUACCGCAUAAUGUCGCAAGACCAAAGAGGGGGACCUUCGGGCCUCUUGCCAUCGGCUGUGCCCAGAUGGGAUUAGCUAGUAGGUGGGGUAACGGCUCACCUAGGCGACGAUCCCUAGCUGGUCUGAGAGGAUGACCAGCCACACUGGAACUGAGACACGGUCCAGACUCCUACGGGAGGCAGCAGUGGGGAAUAUUGCACAAUGGGCGCAAGCCUGAUGCAGCUAUGCCGCGUGUAUGAAGAAGGCCUUCGGGUUGUAAAGUACUUUCAGCGGGGAGGAAGGGAGUAAAGUUAAUACCUUUGCUCAUUGACGUUACCCGCAGAAGAAGCACCGGCUAACUACGUG
Molecule: ribosomal RNA, 490 nt
Filed under: uncultured bacterium
Lineage: Bacteria
Description: partial 16S ribosomal RNA
Rfam family: Bacterial small subunit ribosomal RNA
Source: RNAcentral